This 521-nucleotide ribosomal RNA is filed under the name uncultured bacterium. RNAcentral's name for it is "bacterial SSU rRNA". It matches the Rfam family "Archaeal small subunit ribosomal RNA", at positions 345 to 866 of the family's 1478-position model. The record is from RNAcentral.
AACCUCUGCAAUGUGAGAAAUCGCGACGGGGGGAUCCCAAGUGCCAUUCUUAACGGGAUGGCUUUUCUUAAGUGUAAAAAGCUUUUGGAAUAAGAGCUGGGCAAGACCGGUGCCAGCCGCCGCGGUAACACCGGCAGCUCUAGUGGUAGCUGUUUUUAUUGGGCCUAAAGCGUUCGUAGCCGGUUUGAUAAGUCACUGGUGAAAUCCUGUAGCUUAACUGUGGGAAUUGCUGGUGAUACUGUUGAACUUGAGGUCGGGAGAGGUUAGCGGUACUCCCAGGGUAGAGGUGAAAUUCUGUAAUCCUGGGAGGACCACCUGUGGCGAAGGCGGCUAACUGGAACGAACCUGACGGUGAGGGACGAAAGCUAGGGGCGCGAACCGGAUUAGAUACCCGGGUAGUCCUAGCCGUAAACGAUGCGGACUUGGUGUUGGGAUGGCUUUGAGCCGCUCCGGUGCCGAAGGGAAGCUGUUAAGUCCGCCGCCUGGGAAGUACGGUCGCAAGACUGAAACUUAAAGGAAUU